AGGACGAACGCUGGCGGCGUGCCUAAAACAUGCAAGUCGAACGGUGGUAGCAAUACCACAGUGGCGAACGGCGGAGUAAUACGUGAACAACGUGCCCCAAAGACUGGGAUAGUCACUGGAAACGGUGGGUAAUACCGGAUGUGGCGCUUUUCUCUCCUGAGAGAAGUGUUAAAUGGUUUUUCGCUUUGGGAGCGGUUCACGGCCUAUCAGGUAGUUGGUGGGGUAAUAGCCUACCAAGCCGACGACGGGUAG
This 252-nucleotide ribosomal RNA is filed under the name uncultured bacterium. RNAcentral's name for it is "partial small subunit ribosomal RNA". It matches the Rfam family "Bacterial small subunit ribosomal RNA", at positions 26 to 286 of the family's 1533-position model. The record is from RNAcentral.